This 465-nucleotide ribosomal RNA is filed under the name uncultured bacterium. RNAcentral's name for it is "partial 16S ribosomal RNA". It matches the Rfam family "Bacterial small subunit ribosomal RNA", at positions 28 to 507 of the family's 1533-position model. The record is from RNAcentral.
GACGAACGCUGGCGGCGUGCUUAACACAUGCAAGUCGAACGGAAAGGCCCUGCUUGCAGGGUACUCGAGUGGCGAACGGGUGAGUAACACGUGGGUGAUCUGCCCUGCACUUCGGGAUAAGCCUGGGAAACUGGGCCUAAUACCGGAUAUGACCUUCCAUGUAGUGUGGGGGGUGGAAAGAUUUAUCGGUGUGGGAUGAGCCCGCGGCCUAUCAGCUUGUUGGUGGGGUAAUGGCCUACCAAGGCGUCGACGGGUAGCCGGCCUGAGAGGGUGGACGGCCACAUUGGGACUGAGAUACGGCCCAGACUCCUACGGGAGGCAGCAGUGGGGAAUAUUGCACAAUGGGCGGAAGCCUUAUGCAGCGACGCCGCGUGGGGGAUGACGGCCUUCGGGUUGUAAACCUCUUUCGACAGGGACGAAGCUUCGGUGACGGUACCUGUAUAAGAAGCACCGGCUAACUACGUG